Caerostris darwini is the source of this 101-nucleotide non-coding RNA. Lineage: Eukaryota; Metazoa; Arthropoda; Arachnida; Araneae; Araneidae. The record is from the annotation of a GenBank genome assembly.
AACGGCCGUACCAUGCUGAAUAUACCGGUUCUCGUUAGAUCACCGAAGUUGAGCAUCAUUGGGCGCGGUCAGUAUGACCACCUGGGAACACUGCGUGCCGU